Pseudopipra pipra is the source of this 473-nucleotide long non-coding RNA. RefSeq lists it as uncharacterized. Lineage: Eukaryota; Metazoa; Chordata; Aves; Passeriformes; Pipridae. The transcript is spliced from 3 exons. The record is from RefSeq and is a predicted model, not a curated record.
UUAUUUUGCAGCCCAUCUCCUAACUCUGAAUUUAUGGACUAUUGCUGCACUUCAGGCAGAUGUCCCCAGAUGAACUACCUACACAAGAGGUCAGGAGGAAAAGUGCUAGCAAAACCUCAACUCCGGACACAAGGAGAGCAGAAUUCAGGCUUCUUGGGAAACUAAUUGACAGGCUAAGAGGGUCCCAGUGUCCUGAGCUGGAGGACCAUGGCUGUGAGAAUUAGAAACUCCCAGUUGACCCUGAACUUGUGCAGGAUCUGCCGCUUCAGCUGGAUCGCUCUAAGUCUGUGGAACCUGAUGGGAUGCGACAAUACUCAUAAAGAGUCUGAUGUCAUUAUGAGCCCUCUUUGGAUGAUUUUUGAAAAGUCUUAGGAAUCUGGAGACAUUCCAGUUGACUGAAAGCUGGCUAAUGCAUUUACAUCCUUACACUACAACACAGAUAAAGAACACUGGUAAAGAGCCAGUCCAAAUUU